This 792-nucleotide transfer RNA is filed under the name Bartonella sp. TT0105. Its description in RNAcentral is "partial 16S-23S ribosomal RNA intergenic spacer". The stretch from base 219 to 292 matches the Rfam family "tRNA". Lineage: Bacteria; Pseudomonadati; Pseudomonadota; Alphaproteobacteria; Hyphomicrobiales; Bartonellaceae. The record is from RNAcentral.
CUUCGUUUCUCUUUCUUCAGAUGAUGAUCCCAAGCCUUCUGGCGAUCUCUUAAAAUAAAGCCUGAUCUGUUUUCAAUAAACAGGAUAUUUAGACAUAUGUUUAAAUUCUUAUGGAUCUUAAAAAUCAUAAAUUAAAAAAAGGCUUUAUGAAGAAAGCACUUUAAGCUUUUCCAAUGAUUUAAGAUGAUACCGGGGAAGGUUUUCCGGUUUAUCCCGGAGGGCUUGUAGCUCAGUUGGUUAGAGCGCGCGCUUGAUAAGCGUGAGGUCGGAGGUUCAAGUCCUCCCAGGCCCACCAAUUUAUGCUCGUUUUUUGCUUAUCCACUCGUUUUUUGCUUAUCCAAGAGUAUGGAGCUUAAGCGCAUUAAAGCCUUUUUUAAUCUUUAUUCAAAGUUUAAAGAUUUUAUUAUGCGAAGAUUGUUUGUUAAAUUUAUUCCAUUAAGUUUGUCAAAGAGGAAGUUUGUCAAAGAGGAUUUUUAAAUCCCUUCAUUUUGAAAUUCCUUCAAGGUAUAGACAAAUUUAAAUGAUCCAAAUCAAAAUAGUACAAGUCAAAAUAGUACAAAUUAAAGUAGUGCAGGCAAUUCAAGUUGAUGAAUUUUCUUGAGGUUGAUUUGAGAGAGCAUUAUUUAGGGGCCGUAGCUCAGCUGGGAGAGCACCUGCUUUGCAAGCAGGGGGUCGUCGGUUCGAUCCCGUCCGGCUCCACCACUUUAUGGUUCAUCAUCAUGUUGUAAGAACACGGUUUAGUAAAAGGUCUUUUUAUCCUUUUGCUUGUUCUAUUGAAAUUGUGAAGAGAAG